This 244-nucleotide ribosomal RNA is filed under the name uncultured bacterium. Its description in RNAcentral is "partial 16S ribosomal RNA". It matches the Rfam family "Bacterial small subunit ribosomal RNA", at positions 113 to 354 of the family's 1533-position model. The record is from RNAcentral.
CGACGUGAGGAACCUGCCUUUUCAGAGGGGGAUAACAGUUGGAAACGACUGCUAAUACCGCAUAACGCUGCGAUGGGGCAUCCCGAUGCAGCCAAAGGAGCAAUCCGCUGAAAGAUGGGCUCGCGGCCGAUUAGCUAGUUGGUGGGGCAACGACCCACCAAGGCGACGAUCGGUAGCCGGACUGAGAGGUUGAUCGGCCACACUGGGACUGAGACACGGCCCAGACUCCUACGGAAGGCAGCAG